Long non-coding RNA from Macaca mulatta (Rhesus monkey), 1207 nucleotides. RefSeq lists it as uncharacterized. The record is from RefSeq and is a predicted model, not a curated record. NCBI's taxonomy places the organism in Eukaryota, Metazoa, Chordata, Mammalia, Primates, Cercopithecidae.
AAAAAGUGAUUUCCUGGUCCUCUUCCCCGGAUGGCGUGUGCGAUUUCCCUCACGCCCAUGGGAAGUCCUUCAGAUCUUUCUUAUCUGGAAACCUCUCCACCAAGUGGACAGACUUGUUUAGUCAAUGCCCCUAGUUCUCACUUUCCUUUCUCCAAAGAAAAAAAUCAGAAAAGCAAAACCAGAGCAAACCAAACAUAGGUUAGAGCUAAGGAGAGGUACAAGAUGCCUGGUUUCAACUUAAAAGAUGACCACUAAAUUAGAUUGUAAUUUCAGAGUGAAGGAAAAUGAAGACCAGCGAUGAAUUCUUUGUCUUUAGCAGUGCCAAGAAAGCAGAGAAUAAAAGAAUCCGCAGAAGAGAAGAGAUCUAAAGAAGUUGUUCAGUCCUCCCCCGCGGGAGGGCUGUACCUCAAAAAUGCCACAUUGGAGGGAUGUCCAGUUCUCCUAGGUUUCCAGGGAAACUCCAGAGGAAACUGAGGCCCAAGGAGAAACCUUCCCAAGGUCAGAACGCAGAUGAAAAAUGCUGUUUGACUCUCUACUCUGGAGCUCUGCCCACAGAAAAUUUGAUGAAUGGCCUGGAAUCGGCAUUGGAAAUAAAUGCUUCAGAUACUGAUUCUCAGCUGUAGUCUACAGCUUGGAUUGGACACACCCUGACUUAAGAAACAGCCUGCUGAGGGACACAGUUCCUGGGCAAAUGCUGCCUGUUUUCCUGCUUGUGUUUUGGUUGCUGGGUGCAGCAGGUUCUCUAAUAUGGAAUGGGCGUUGUCAAAGUGACUGUCCCUUUCCUUCUCUGAGGAGCAAUUCUUCUCGUCCACGGGUCCCUGCUUGUUGUUAGGAACACUGUGUGCUUGCUGCGCACACAUUACAAUGAAAACAAAAGCAAAUAAAAAAGGGAACCACCAUAUGGCCUCAGCGGCAACCCAGAAUGAACUGUGGAUGGAGAGACCCUGCCCCGUCGUAGCUACGGCUGGAAUUGACUGUCACAGAGGCCGUUUUCCCGAAUCCUAAAACGUUGGUGUUGGUGGCUGAACCCAAACUUCUUCAACCAAACUGCAAAUGUAGUCAGAAUAAUUCACCAGUCAGGUUAUCUAUGUUUCUUAAUAUGAAAUAUCUCUCAUGACUGUAAGGUACAGUCUCAUUAGAGACAAAGCUCCUACUUUCUCAUGAAGAAAUUUCAGCACCAAAUAAAUACGUAUUUUCCAGCAUGUUC